RNAcentral lists this unclassified non-coding RNA (678 nucleotides) under Hevea brasiliensis (rubber tree). Lineage: Eukaryota; Viridiplantae; Streptophyta; Magnoliopsida; Malpighiales; Euphorbiaceae. The record is from RNAcentral.
AUCAACGCAAUUCAGAGAUGUGAAGCGAACAACCUAAAGCCAGGCAGACGACCACGUUGCUGUUUUAAUGGAAAUCGGAUUUUUUUUCCCAAAUUGAAACUCUUUCGGUCUUUCUUUCCCACUGCACAAUUCCAUAGCCUACCUCUCCACUUCUCUCUCUCCUUGCACCCUCACACCUUAUCAUUUUCCUUCCUUUUCUCGCUAUCCAAACGUACCCGAAUCUUCUGACACUCACAGGAGCUAACAACGCAUAGAGGAUCAGACCUCUUUGGGCCCUAACCAGGUCAUGGCUUGGAGGCACCUAAUCACGCAGGGUUCGAGGCAUCAAUCAGAAUCAGGACUGUACAAAAAUUUGUUUGUCAGGUCCUACUUUCCUGUUAUCAAGCGUGGAGGUGAUGCAGUGAAUGGACUUUUAAAUGCUGAAAGGAGAUUUAAGUCGAGCUAUGCCGGUAAUUUAGCUCGCAGAGUGCGUGAUACAGAUGAAGCUAGUGAAGUUGCACAUCUUAAAGAACUGUACCACCGAAAUGAUCCCGAAGCGGUAAUAAGACUAUUUGAAAGUCAGCCAUCAUUACAUAGUAACACUUCAGCGCUUUCUGAAUAUAUCAAGGCAUUAGUCAGAGUUGAUAGGCUGGAUGAAAGUGAGUUGCUCAAGACAUUGCAGAGAGGCAUUGCUAAUUC